AUGGUAACUUGUUACACCAAACGGACUCAAAGUCGCCCUCUAGCGUGUAAACAGAGAGCUUCAGAGAGAAGCCAACCAACAGAAACCAGGCGCAGGAGUAAGAAAGCAUCAAGAUGCAGAGGACACAGGAGGAGCAGCAUCUGCACGGUCGGCAGAGGACAGAGAGAGUCAGCUGUUAAACAUCAAAAGCACACCGCUGGAUAGAACCAUGGACACCCUACGUGAUUCUUUUAGCAACAAAUUCUCAGAAAUUCUCAGAGCUAUAGACAAGGUCUUCAGUGAUUCCCAAGGAACCCCUGGGUGAGUGACAUUUCCGACCUAGUCCUUUCUCAACUACAGCUGUCCCAAUUCCCAACUUCUUAAGUAUCACUGGAAGUCUGGGCCCAUCUUUCAGAGAACUAACCACAGACCACUCAAUAGAAUUAGAAACCCUCCUUUGCAACACAAGUUGCAAACAAAACAAGGUUUCUGCAACAGAAAGCAUUCCUGGAAACCUUGGAAAAUAUUAAUCACAUUCUCUUCAUGUGAGUACUUCAUUGCUGUAUCCGUCAUGCAACAUUGUCAAUUACUAACUUGUAUGUUAAUCUUCCGUGUUGACCACGGGCGCCAUGAAAACACAAGUGUCUCUUAUUCUUUCCUUGCCCAGCCAGAGUUCAGCCCAUGUUCCUGAGCUCAUGUAUGAAUGACAAAAGAGUGGAGGAUUGAGGCCCAGCAGAGUGGCUCAUACCUAUAAUCCCAGCACUUUGGGAGGCUGAGGGAGGAGGACUGCUUGAGCCCAGGAGUUUAAGACUAGCCUGGGUAACACAGUGAGAUCCCUGUCUCUAUGAAAAGACAAACUAAAAAUUAGCUGGGCAUGGUGGUAUAUGCCUGUAGUCCCAGCUACUUGGGAGACUGAGGCAGGAGCAUCACUUGAGGCAAGGAGUUUGAGAUCAGUCUGGGCAACAUAGUAAGACCUUAUCUGUAACCAAAAAAAAAAAAAAAAAAAAAAAUUAGCCAGGCAUGGUGGUACGCAACUGUAGCCCUAGCUACAGGGGAAGCUGAAGCAGGAGGAUUGCUUGAGCCCAGGAGUUGGAAGCUGUAGUGAGCUGAUUGCACCACUGCACUCCUGCCUGGGCAACAGAGCAAGACCCUGUCUCAACAAUAACAGAAUAAAAAGAAGAGAGAGAGGGGCAGGAUCUCCUUACAAAUCUGGCAUUGGCAGAAUUAGCAUCAUCUCAUUGUGUUAUUUAGGUGUUUCCUGUAUGGCUCAAGAGCAAUACCUUUAUUGUGAUUCUAUAUCCAAAUAUAUGUACAAUAGCAAGUCAACUGACAAGAUCACCUAGAUUUUUCUAAAUGGACUACAUAUAAUUGUUACUCUUACUAAAGCACACAACCAUCAUGAUUAGUGAACAAUAACCAUGGGGUUCAUCCAUACAAAUAAGUUGCCUUUGCAAAUAGGACCCCCAAAUCCCCAAAUAUAUAUGGGCUAAAGAUACUUUACGGCCGAGCGCGGUGGCUCAAGCCUGUAAUCCCAGCACUUUGGGAGGCUGAGACGGGCAGAUCACGAGGUCAGGAGAUCGAGAUCAUCCUAGCUAACCCGGUGAAACCCCGUCUCUACAAAAAAUACAAAAAACUAG
RNAcentral lists this long non-coding RNA (1616 nucleotides) under Macaca mulatta (Rhesus monkey). RNAcentral describes it as "lncRNA (ENSMMUG00000048544.2)". Lineage: Eukaryota; Metazoa; Chordata; Mammalia; Primates; Cercopithecidae. The record is from RNAcentral.